ACCUGAGCUUUCGUGGAGGAGAGUUGACGUGAAAAAGCUGAAACUCGUGGGCUACAACAUCGGAAGGCGUUCGCGUUGUCGCCACCCUGGUAUUAGCCAAGCGUUGACCUUGUCCAUCGGUUGCACUUGAUCGAACACGACACAGCCAUUACAAUACCCACGAAUGAAAGCGGACGAAGGCAAGCAGGCAAAAUCUUCCUCUCUUUCAGUGCAUGUUCGUUCGCGUAGACACGGCUGUGUAGAUAAUCAUGAUUGAGGUCGGGUUACUAAACAAAGUGAGCACUGUCUUUGGCGAAGGAUGGAGUCUAUUCUCCGUCCCCCAAAACCCACAGCUAACCUCGUCAAAUCAGGUGGGAGUUGACCUCAAAGUAAACACCUCAGUAAAGGAGCACCUUCACAACUUUAGAAAAUCUCAUACGUCUCAAUACAUUGACAGACUAUUCCACCAAGAUGAAACCUGGACCAAAGUUACAUGCACACGUCCACCACAGUUAAAAACUCCCGUAUAUAACCAAGUCCAUGGGCAUGAUCUCCAGUGUACCGGCUAGACGCCAUGGCAAAGCAUCAGUUGCUGCCGCUCGCAGCGCUUAUACUUCUGGCGUCGGCAGAUACUCAUGUGACCCAACCUCCAGUUCUUUAAUGAAUUCACACUUGUCUACAUUUUAGCUUCGCCGGAUGCGCUGUCCUGGAGAAUGUGAUGCUGCGUCGCUGCGACUACUGCUCAGGUUACGAUGCCACUGUUCAUCACGUUAUCGAAGACGGCUGGAAUGAACUUGACGUUGGUGGUGGUGCAUGGUUUGUGAUCAGGUGCUGCGAGUGCUACGUAUUUCGCAGCGGGAUUCAAAGACUGUGACAAAGAUUACGCCAAGAAUGGCUGCGAGAUCAACGUCCACACCGACCCCAACAACUGCGGCAACUGUGGUAUCAAGUGCGGCGGGUGUGCGAAUGCCGUACCUACCUGCAAGUCCGGAAAGGGCGAGUUCUCCUGCACAGCACCGUACCAGAACUGCGACAACAGCUGGAGCGACGGGUGGGAGAUCAACGUGAGCAACGACGUCAACAACUGCGGUGGGUGCAGGAAGAAGUGCAGCCCUGUGGCACACGCCAAUGUUAAGUGCAGCAACAGCAAAUGCGAGUACACUUGUCACCCAGGGUGGAGGAACUGCGACAACAACUGGAUGAACGGGUGCGAGACGGAGGUGAGCAUGAACGUGAACAACUGUGGCGGGUGCAAUAUAAAGUGCUCGCAGCCAAAGUACUACGGCGGUGAAGCGGGAUGCACAUGCGAGGCGGAAUCUUGCAAGAAGUGGCUGAAGUAUGAAAAGGCGAAGUAGUGCUGUGUGGAGAACAAUGGUGGGAAGGACGACGGCAAGAAGGGAGGCGAUGGCGACAAGAAGGGAGGCGACGAUGGUAAAAAGGGAGGUGAUGAUGGAAAGAACGGGGGUUAUGACGGGAAGAAGGGAAGCGAUGGCGGCAAAAAGGGGGUGAGGGUGGCAAGAAGGGAGGUAAGGACGGCAGGAAGAAAAGCAGUGGUAAGUGUUGAGAAGAUGACGAGUAGGGCGGAGAUGCCUACUAGAAUUUAAAUGGCGAUGGCAUAAAGGAAUGUAAAGAUGGAGGUGAUUGGAGAUAGCAGAAUACCAGUUUAAAGGGGAUAUAAGCGGGCUACCGAUGAAGGUACAACCGUUUAAUUAACUGAGUCAACUUUGGGAAAAUCUAUGGCUUAUCCGAGAAUGCAUCAGCAGUGGAAUCAGUGUUGUAAGUCUCAGGUGUAGUAUAUGUGCAGUAGAGUGCUGUAAUGGAAUGAUCGACAUGAAGCAGUUUCGGAUUGUAAGAGAAGCAUUCACGUUCAAUAUAAUUAUUGUUCCAGUGCCACUUA
Physcomitrium patens is the source of this 1876-nucleotide non-coding RNA. NCBI's taxonomy places the organism in Eukaryota, Viridiplantae, Streptophyta, Bryopsida, Funariales, Funariaceae. The record is from RefSeq and is a predicted model, not a curated record.